Molecule: long non-coding RNA, 388 nt
Organism: Lepisosteus oculatus (spotted gar)
Lineage: Eukaryota; Metazoa; Chordata; Actinopteri; Semionotiformes; Lepisosteidae
Source: RefSeq, a predicted model, not a curated record
GUUUUCACUGCCAGCUCUCCACUGCAACAGCAUGAAUCAUAAAAGACAAAUCAAUCUAUACAUUUCCUGCUCUCAGUAUGACGUCUUCCGAAAAUAAAACCAAAACCAAUGUUUGUUCCCAACUUUUAGGGUAUGUAAAGAUCGCCAAGUCAUUUCACAGAACUCUCCAAUGAAUACACGAUUCAAGCAUCCAUUGGAGGGCACACACAUGAAAUAUUUAGAGACGCCAGUUAACUACUUGGCCUUGACAAGAGGUCUUUAGAAGAUGGAAGGGAACUGGAACAAACAGCAGGACGAAUUCACCCCAAGUGCAGAAUCAAAUCCAGAACCCAAUAUCUGGGAGGAAGCAGAACAAAUUCUGCCACCUGUUGUUGAUUUAUACUGUUCU